AGCAUUUCCCCAGAUUCUUGGCCCUGAUCUUGGGAUAUAUGGAAAGGAAGUCUCUACAGGCGUUUCCUUCCCGCAGGAGGUGCUAACGAAGGUUCUGAGGAUCCGUCCAGGCUCUGAAACUGUCAUAACAAGGGUCCUGUCCAGCUGGGCUCACCCAUCUGUGCCUGAGAUACGCCAGAGCAUUGUCUCAGCUUUCCCAGGAUGAGAAGACUGAAGCAAGAAGCAUCUCACAGCUAGUUUGUGCAGAGCUGUUGUCUGCCGAAAAUCCUGCCUCCUUCCUCUUCCCUCUGCUCUUGAGUGGUUCUCCUCCUUGGCCCCUAAAAUUGUAGAAUUUUUUUCUGACUGGUUGGGUGAACUUCCAGUUGUUCAGAUAGCCUUCUGGUGAAAUGGACUGAAAACAAAGAGAAGAUAUACUUCCUAAAUUUUCAGAGCACUGUGUCUUGAGGGACAAGUAAAAUUGCCACAGGCUUAUCCAUUUUACUUUUUAUUGUAUAUAGAGCUAGAGAAA
RNAcentral lists this long non-coding RNA (508 nucleotides) under Capra hircus (goat). Its description in RNAcentral is "lncRNA (ENSCHIG00010007206.1)". The record is from RNAcentral. Lineage: Eukaryota; Metazoa; Chordata; Mammalia; Artiodactyla; Bovidae.